UGCUGAGAUUACAGAAAUGAGCCACCACACCUGGCCUGAUCUGCUGUUUAGCAGAAAAUUGCUAAAAGGUUUAUGAUAAUCUUACCUCAUGGUCAAACUGAUAAAGGUUGAAUACUUUGUCUAUAAGAUUUUAUUAAGAAUUGGAUUUGACAUUCAUAGUACUCUAAUGCAAAGGUGAAAUUUGGCUUUCUCUCAAACAAAAUUUUCGUGUAAUAUUAAAAGAUAAUGAAAGAUUUCUGUUUGCCUUUUGAAUAAAUUACAAUAAAAAGAGGGGAGAAAAGAGAUGGUUUGGAAAAUGAAGUCUUCCUUCUAUCAAUGAAUACAGGUUUUUGCCUUUAAAAAAAUUUUUAGUCAUCAUUUUGGCUAAAUAAAUGACUAAUGGUGACAUGGAAUUUUAUUUUACAAGCAUUUUAAACCUUUGAUACUUGACAAACUUUCCAGAAUCAAAUUGUAAGUGAUGUCUUUUUCUUACCUAACUAAUCUUUUAGAUAUUAAGUCCCCUAAAGUCCAAAAAUGACAUAUUUGGAUUAUUCUGGUAUAUUAAAAUCAUACAGGUAGCAUUGUCAAAUAUGAAAUGGUGUUUGGUUUUCUUUAGGUUGUAUUUGUAUAAGUAUGUUAUUAGUAUGUGUUCCAAAAUUAUGGGAAAAUCCUGUAAUUCUGAUAUGACUUGGUAUAUGUUUUGAGUAAUAAAUAUAAUUACUAUGUUAAAUUGUUGUGUACCAAAGUAGUAACCAAAUUUUCUUAUCAAUUUUGUCUUUGAUUGUGACUGCUCUAAGACUUUUUGUCAUCCACAGACAAUUGUUGCCUUAUUUUGAUCAUCCUUCAAAGACAGUUUAUAAUUAGCUAUACCACUGUCAUGAGUACUCUUAAAUGUAGUCUCUGAUAAUUUUGGGAAGUGUGCUGUCAAAAUAAAGAGGAAAGAACUUCCAAGAUUCUCUUGGAAAACCAAUGUGUUCAUAAAUGUUGAGCAAAACAGGAGUUAACUGUGAAGGCUAAACUAAUAAAAGGUCAAAGUAAUCUUUUUAUGACUUUUUGCUUAAAAUGUAGCAGUUAAGUAAAGGAUAGUCCCAUAAAUAAAAUUUGGAGCAUAUCUCGCUGCACCUGAUUUUACCAGAAUUUGGAAACUAUUUGUGAGUAUUUGCAUGGCGAUACAGUUAUUUGCAUAAGUGCAAUAAGAAUCUGUUUUCUUUUGUAAUAGGACACAAUUGGAGAAAUUUAUUUAUUUAUGUAUUUAUUUUUACCAAGACUUUGACUGGAAUGGCAUGCUUUCAAAUAGAAACAGCCUGCUCUAAGGAAUCAAAGUUGACUCAUAGAGCCAAUAAAAGCCCCUUGGAAAAACUAGCUUCAUACCUUGUCUAUGCAUUCCCUGUACAGGAUUCUUGACCUGUGAUGCUAAGUUUGCUAUAAUUUGUUACGCAGCAGUAGCUGACUGAUACAGGAACCGAAGAGAGGCCAUGCUUUCCAGCUUCAGGACAGAGUGUGUGCUACCUGGGUGGGUGGUCUGGUCUGAUUAUCAGGUGACAACCGACGAGUCCACCUGUUGGGAAUCCCAGGUCUAGUCCAAGCCCCUUGUUUAGCUUUUCCCUCACAGCAGGCAGCAGAGCGUUGAAGCACGUGGCCAGAAACACCCCUCCUCCAAAGGUGUUGCAGAGAGACAGGAUCUUUGUGGAGCGAUGGGCCUUCUCAAAAUCUGUCUCGAUGAUCUUCACGGGGAGCAGGGAGCCAAGCAGCAUGAAGAAGAACACGCCCACCAUGCAAAGGAUUUUGGCCACUAGCAAUUUCACCAUGGUGGCGGCUUGGGUUGCUCUGGUCACCGCAGGGCCAAACCCCACGAUGUGCUACCGAGCCCAACCACGCAGUUGGAGGCUCAUGUCUUAGUCCAGCAACUCCCGGGGAACCCUUGUCCCCCUACAGGCGCCGCUCCCCGCCCAACCGCCGCGCAGUCUCGACCCCACAGACGCGGCCUGGAGAGCGAGUAGCCAUUCUUUUGUUUCUGUACUUUGUUAAUAAACUUGCUUUCACUUUACUAUA
Macaca mulatta (Rhesus monkey) is the source of this 2031-nucleotide non-coding RNA. The record is from RefSeq and is a predicted model, not a curated record. NCBI's taxonomy places the organism in Eukaryota, Metazoa, Chordata, Mammalia, Primates, Cercopithecidae.